AUUGCACGUCUAAGCAGUAAGGCUGAGUAUUAGGCAAAUCCGGUACUCAUUAAGGCUGAGCUGUGAUGGGGAGAAGACAUUGUGUCUUCGAGUCGUUGAUUUCACACUGCCGAGAAAAGCCUCUAGAUAGAAAAUAGGUGCCCGUACCGCAAACCGACACAGGUAGUCAAGAUGAGAAUUCUAAGGUGAGCGAGCGAACUCUCGUUAAGGAACUCGGCAAAAUGACCCCGUAACUUCGGGAGAAGGGGUGCUCUUUAGGGUUAACGCCCAGAAGAGCCGCAGUGAAUAGGCCCAAGCGACUGUUUAUCAAAAACACAGGUCUCUGCUAAACCGUAAGGUGAUGUAUAGGGGCUGACGCCUGCCCGGUGCUGGAAGGUUAAGAGGAGUGGUUAGCUUCUGCGAAGCUACGAAUCGAAGCCCCAGUAAACGGCGGCCGUAACUAUAACGGUCCUAAGGUAGCGAAAUUCCUUGUCGGGUAAGUUCCGACCCGCACGAAAGGCGUAACGAUUUGGGCACUGUCUCAACGAGAGACUCGGUGAAAUCAUAGUACCUGUGAAGAUGCAGGUUACCCGCGACAGGACGGAAAGACCCCGUGGAGCUUUACUGUAGCCUGAUAUUGAAAUUCGGCACAGCUUGUACAGGAUAGGUAGGAGCCUUUGAAACGUGAGCGCUAGCUUACGUGGAGGCGCUGGUGGGAUACUACCCUAGCUGUGUUGGCUUUCUAACCCGCACCACUUAUCGUGGUGGGAGACAGUGUCAGGCGGGCAGUUUGACUGGGGCGGUCGCCUCCUAAAAGGUAACGGAGGCGCUCAAAGGUUCCCUCAGAAUGGUUGGAAAUCAUUCAUAGAGUGUAAAGGCAUAAGGGAGCUUGACUGCGAGACCUACAAGUCGAGCAGGGUCGAAAGACGGACUUAGUGAUCCGGUGGUUCCGCAUGGAAGGGCCAUCGCUCAACGGAUAAAAGCUACCCCGGGGAUAACAGGCUUAUCUCCCCCAAGAGUUCACAUCGACGGGGAGGUUUGGCACCUCGAUGUCGGCUCAUCGCAUCCUGGGGCUGUAGUCGGUCCCAAGGGUUGGGCUGUUCGCCCAUUAAAGCGGUACGCGAGCUGGGUUCAGAACGUCGUGAGACAGUUCGGUCCCUAUCCGUCGUGGGCGUAGGAAAUUUGAGAGGAGCUGUCCUUAGUACGAGAGGACCGGGAUGGACAUACCUCUGGUGUACCAGUUGUCGUGCCAACGGCAUAGCUGGGUAGCUAUGUGUGGACGGGAUAAGUGCUGAAAGCAUCUAAGCAUGAAGCCCCCCUCAAGAUGAGAUUUCCCAACUUCGGUUAUAAGAUCCCUCAAAGAUGAUGAGGUUAAUAGGUUCGAGGUGGAAGCAUGGUGACAUGUGGAGCUGACGAAUACUAA
RNAcentral lists this ribosomal RNA (1402 nucleotides) under Staphylococcus aureus. RNAcentral's name for it is "partial 23S ribosomal RNA". It matches the Rfam family "Bacterial large subunit ribosomal RNA", at positions 1503 to 2904 of the family's 2925-position model. Lineage: Bacteria; Bacillati; Bacillota; Bacilli; Caryophanales; Staphylococcaceae. The record is from RNAcentral.